CAGAUGGAAGCCCGCUGGGUUGGGUGUUUAGCUGUUAACUGAAUUUUUGUGGGAUCGAGGCCCACCCAUCUG
RNAcentral lists this transfer RNA (72 nucleotides) under Enyalioides microlepis. RNAcentral describes it as "tRNA-Asn". The record is from RNAcentral. Lineage: Eukaryota; Metazoa; Chordata; Lepidosauria; Squamata; Hoplocercidae.